RNAcentral lists this ribosomal RNA (506 nucleotides) under uncultured bacterium. RNAcentral describes it as "partial 16S ribosomal RNA". It matches the Rfam family "Bacterial small subunit ribosomal RNA", at positions 30 to 523 of the family's 1533-position model. The record is from RNAcentral.
AUUGAACGCUGGCGGCAGGCCUAACACAUGCAAGUCGAACGGUAACAGAAAGCAGCUUGCUGCUUUGCUGACGAGUGGCGGACGGGUGAGUAAUGUCUGGGAAACUGCCUGAUGGAGGGGGAUAACUACUGGAAACGGUAGCUAAUACCGCAUAACGUCGCGAGACCAAAGAGGGGGACCUUCGGGCCUCUUGCCAUCGGAUGUGCCCAGAUGGGAUUAGCUAGUAGGUGGGGUAACGGCUCACCUAGGCGACGAUCCCUAGCUGGUCUGAGAGGAUGACCAGCCACACUGGAACUGAGGCACGGUCCAGACUCCUACGGGAGGCAGCAGUGGGGAAUAUUGCACAAUGGGCGCAAGCCUGAUGCAGCCAUGCCGCGUGUAUGAAGAAGGCCUUCGGGUUGUAAAGUACUUUCAGCGGGGAGGGAGGGAGUAAAGUUAAUACCUUUGCUCAUUGACGUUACCCGCAGAAGAAGCACCGGCUAACUCCGUGCCAGCAGCCGCGGUAA